Molecule: ribosomal RNA, 254 nt
Filed under: uncultured bacterium
Lineage: Bacteria
Description: partial 16S ribosomal RNA
Rfam family: Bacterial small subunit ribosomal RNA
Source: RNAcentral
UACGUAGGGUGCAAGCGUUGUCCGGAAUUAUUGGGCGUAAAGAGCUCGUAGGCGGUCUGUCGCGUCUGCUGUGAAAACCUAGGGCUUAACUCUGGGCGUGCAGUGGGUACGGGCAGGCUAGAGUGCGGUAGGGGGAGACUGGAAUUCCUGGUGUAGCGGUGAAAUGCGCAGAUAUCAGGAGGAACACCGGUGGCGAAGGCGGGUCUCUGGGCCGUAACUGACGCUGAGGAGCGAAAGCGUGGGGAGCGAACAGG